CCUACGGGAGGCAGCAGUGAGGAAUAUUGGUCAAUGGACGAGAGUCUGAACCAGCCAAGUAGCGUGAAGGAUGACUGCCCUAUGGGUUGUAAACUUCUUUUAUAUGGGAAUAAAAUGUUCCACGUGUGGGAUUUUGUAUGUACCAUAUGAAUAAGGAUCGGCUAACUCCGUGCCAGCAGCCGCGGUAAUACGGAGGAUCCGAGCGUUAGCCGGAUUUCUUGGGUUUAAAGGGAGCGUAGGUGGAUUGUUAAGUCAGUUGUGAAAGUUUGCGGCUAAACCGUAAAAUUGCAGUUGAAACUGGCAGUCUUGAGUACAGUAGAGGUGGGCGGAAUUCGUGGUGUAGCGGUGAAAUGCUUAGAUAUCACGAAGAACUCCGAUUGCGAAGGCAGCUCACUGGACUGCAACUGACACUGAGGCUCGAAAGUGUGGGUAUCAAACAGGAUUAGAUACCCUGGUAGUC
This 460-nucleotide ribosomal RNA is filed under the name uncultured bacterium. RNAcentral's name for it is "partial 16S ribosomal RNA". It matches the Rfam family "Bacterial small subunit ribosomal RNA", at positions 338 to 795 of the family's 1533-position model. The record is from RNAcentral.